AGUGAACGCUGGCGGUAGGCCUAACACAUGCAAGUCGAACGGCAGCACAGUAAGAGCUUGCUCUUACGGGUGGCGAGUGGCGGACGGGUGAGGAAUACAUCGGAAUCUACUUUUUGGUGGGGGAUAACGUAGGGAAACUUACGCUAAUACCGCAUACGACCUACGGGUGAAAGCAGGGGAUCUUCGGACCUUGCGCGAUUGAAUGAGCCGAUGUCGGAUUAGCUAGUUGGCGGGGUAAAGGCCCACCAAGGCGACGAUCCGUAGCUGGUCUGAGAGGAUGAUCAGCCACACUGGAACUGAGACACGGUCCAGACUCCUACGGGAGGCAGCAGUGGGGAAUAUUCGACAAUGGGCGCAAGCCUGAUCCAGCCAUACCGCGUGUGUGAAGAAGGCCUUCGGGUUGUAAAACCCUUUUGUUGGGAAAGAAAAGCAGCAGGUUAAUACCCCGCUGUUCUGACGGUACCCAAAGAAUAAGCACCGGCUAACUUCGUG
RNAcentral lists this ribosomal RNA (492 nucleotides) under uncultured bacterium. RNAcentral describes it as "partial 16S ribosomal RNA". It matches the Rfam family "Bacterial small subunit ribosomal RNA", at positions 29 to 507 of the family's 1533-position model. The record is from RNAcentral.